RNAcentral lists this long non-coding RNA (516 nucleotides) under Setaria viridis. Its description in RNAcentral is "long non-coding RNA (SVIR_LNC007299)". Lineage: Eukaryota; Viridiplantae; Streptophyta; Magnoliopsida; Poales; Poaceae. The record is from RNAcentral.
GAAACCCCAAAUUUGAAAAGGGAAAGGUGGCUGGCCAUUGGGUCAUUUGUGUUCAUGCACAGCCAUAUGCCUUUGCUGUCGCUGUAUCCCGUGUUUUACAUACAAUGUAUAUUAACUUAACUGAUGCUUUUUUAGUAAACAGUCCCAACUUCAGCCCAUAUCUAGUUGCCUGUUUGUCUGUGGUGGUGCUAUGCCAGCAUAUCAUUGUAUUUGGUAGAAGUGGUUGUCAGAGCAUAUUUUGUUCACAGAUAUUUACCCUUUUCUCUUAUUUCUCUCAACCUCAACUUACUACAAGUAUAAAAACAUGAAAAUUAGUAGAUGAACUUGAGAAAUUAGUCGAUAAAGUUGGCAAUAGUUUCAUAACAUUUUUUUCUUGUAAAAGAUAUGGCUUUAACUCUGGUAUCACAGGUCCAUGUUCUUACUUCUUGCCCCCCAAGUUCUGUAAAUUAUUUAGAAAGCUACCUUUGGAAUGUUAAGAAGUUGAGUUAUGAUAUGUACACGACUUGUAUGUAUAGC